AUUGAACGCUGGCGGCAGGCCUAACACAUGCAAGUCGAACGAGUGGCGGACGGGUGAGUAAUGUCUGGGAAACUGCCCGAUGGAGGGGGAUAACUGCUGGAAACGGUAGCUAAUACCGCAUACCAUCGGAUGUGCCCAGAUGGGAUUAGCUAGUAGGGGGGGUAACGGCUCACCUAGGCGACGCGCCCUAGCUGGUCUGAGAGGAUGACCAGCCACACUGGAACUGAGACACGGUCCAGACUCCUACGGGAGGCAGCAGUGGGGAAUAUUGGACAAUGGGCGAAAGUCUGAUGCAGCCAGGCCGCGUGUAUGAAGAAGGUCUUCGGGUUGUAAAGUACUUUCAGCGAGGAGGCGUUACUUGCCGAAGAAGCACCGGCUAACUCCGUGCCAGCAGCCGCGGUAAUAC
RNAcentral lists this ribosomal RNA (406 nucleotides) under uncultured bacterium. Its description in RNAcentral is "partial 16S ribosomal RNA". It matches the Rfam family "Bacterial small subunit ribosomal RNA", at positions 30 to 526 of the family's 1533-position model. The record is from RNAcentral.